CUCAGGGGUGGAAGUAGGAGAA
RNAcentral lists this microRNA (22 nucleotides) under Gallus gallus (chicken). RNAcentral describes it as "gga-miR-1577". Lineage: Eukaryota; Metazoa; Chordata; Aves; Galliformes; Phasianidae. The record is from miRBase by way of RNAcentral.